Molecule: ribosomal RNA, 249 nt
Filed under: uncultured bacterium
Lineage: Bacteria
Description: partial 16S ribosomal RNA
Rfam family: Bacterial small subunit ribosomal RNA
Source: RNAcentral
CGUAGGUGCAAGCGUUGUCCGGAAUUAUUGGGCGUAAGAGCUCGUAGGUGGCCUGUCGCGUCGGCUGUGAAACUCGGGCUCAACUCCGAGCUUGCAGUCGAUACGGGCAGGCUAGAGUGCGGCAGGGGAGACUGGAAUUCCUGGUGUAGCGGUGAAAUGCGCAGAUAUCAGGAGGAACACCGGUGGCGAAGGCGGGUCUCUGGGCCGAUACUGACACUGAGGAGCGAAAGCGUGGGAGCGAACAGGAUU